ACGUAGGGGGCCAGCGUUGUUCGGAAUUACUGGGUGUAAAGGGUUCGUAGGCGGUGCGGCAAGUUGGGAGUGAAAUCUCUGGGCUUAGCCCAGAGGCUGCUUCCAAAACUGCUGUGCUUGAGUGUGGGAGAGGCGCGUGGAAUUGCAGGUGUAGCGGUGAAAUGCGUAGAUAUCUGCAGGAACACCCGUGGCGAAAGCGGCGCGCUGGACCACUACUGACGCUGAGGAACGAAAGCUAGGGGAGCAAACAGGA
This 253-nucleotide ribosomal RNA is filed under the name uncultured prokaryote. Its description in RNAcentral is "partial 16S ribosomal RNA". It matches the Rfam family "Bacterial small subunit ribosomal RNA", at positions 525 to 777 of the family's 1533-position model. The record is from RNAcentral.